AGAUUUAUCUGCGAUUAGCUCAUAUCGGUCAAAAAUACUGGCACACAGAUUUAUUGGUCCGACUCUAGUAUAGGCUAAAGUCUCUAAUCACCUGCUUUUUAGUUACUUGAAUUAGUUUUCUACCUGCAGAAGUUUUUCUAACAGUGUAUGGGCAGGUUGUAAAGAGCAAAUACAACAAAACUGGGUAGACUGCACCGACAUACAUUCAUACGCUGGUUGGUGAGGCUACCAUGGGUGCCAACUGCUCAUCAGAAAGAAGAUGAUCAUUCACACUCACCGAUGCAGCAGCCUUCAGGAGCAACUGGCAGGAGAAUUGAAACACAUUUCAGAUACCAGCUAACAGCAAUUAACAUAUGUAACAUCUGUAUCAUAUCUACCAUGAAGAUGCUGGCUGUGUCUGCACUUGAUUGCCCUGUAAUAGCUCUGGCCAGAGCUGAUGCUGGCCAACAAGUCAACAUCUUGCCGCUGGCCGCUGUUUCCAAUAUGUCCCAGCCACCCUGACCAUAGAGAUUCCUUGUGUAACGCAGAGGCAUGAAGUACCUGUCAGAAUUAGGAACACUGGUGAACGUGUGUUCGUGAUUAAGACUUGUCUGUCUGUGUCAUCAGUCUCCUAUAUAACCUGAAGGCUCUAUAUUUUUCCACAUGCAUUACCGCUGCAAUGCUACUUAUGGAAUGAAGCUACAUGUGACAUAAGCCGGAGCUGAAUUGUCUCUUUUUGUUUACUGAAUUGUAUUGUGUUAUCUUUUUAAUUCUUUAUGCACCAAUAAAAGGCUUAAGCACUCAAAA
Molecule: long non-coding RNA, 786 nt
Organism: Micropterus dolomieu (smallmouth bass)
Lineage: Eukaryota; Metazoa; Chordata; Actinopteri; Centrarchiformes; Centrarchidae
Exons: 4
Source: RefSeq, a predicted model, not a curated record